UACGGAGGGGGCCAGCGUUGUUCGGAAUCACUGGGCGUAAAGGGCGCGUAGGCGGCUCGGUAAGUAGGGGGUGAAAUCCUGCGGCUUAACCGCAGGGCUGCCUUCUAAACUGUCGAGCUUGAGCACGGUAGAGGCAGAUGGAAUUCCCGGUGUAGCGGUGGAAUGCGUAGAGAUCGGGAAGAACAUCAGUGGCGAAGGCGGUCUGCUGGGCCGUUGCUGACGCUGAGGCGCGACAGCGUGGGGAGCAAACAGG
This 253-nucleotide ribosomal RNA is filed under the name uncultured bacterium. Its description in RNAcentral is "partial 16S ribosomal RNA". It matches the Rfam family "Bacterial small subunit ribosomal RNA", at positions 524 to 776 of the family's 1533-position model. The record is from RNAcentral.